CCUACGGGGGGCAGCAGUGGGGAAUAUUGCACAAUGGGCGAAAGCCUGAUGCAGCGACGCCGCGUGAGUGAAGAAGGCCCUCGGGAUGUAAAGCUCUGUCAGCAGGGAAGAAAAUGACGGUGCCUGACUAGGAAGCCCCGGCUAACUACGUGCCAGCAGCCGCGGUAAUACGUAGGGGGCCAGCGUUAUCCGGAUUUACUGGGCGUAAAGGGUGCGUAGGUGGUAUGUUAAGUCAGAGGUGAAAGGCGAGGGCGCAACCCGGGUAUGGCUUUGAAAAUGGGGAGCUUGAGUGCAGGAGAGGUGAGCGGAAUUCCUAGUGUAGCGGUGAAAUGCGUAGAUAUUAGGAGGAACACCAGUGGCGAAGGCGGCUGACUGGACUGUAACUGACACUGAGGCACGAAAGCGUGGGGAGCAAACAGGAUUAGAUACCCUUGUAGUC
RNAcentral lists this ribosomal RNA (439 nucleotides) under uncultured bacterium. Its description in RNAcentral is "partial 16S ribosomal RNA". It matches the Rfam family "Bacterial small subunit ribosomal RNA", at positions 338 to 795 of the family's 1533-position model. The record is from RNAcentral.